Ribosomal RNA from Panthera pardus (leopard), 105 nucleotides. NCBI's taxonomy places the organism in Eukaryota, Metazoa, Chordata, Mammalia, Carnivora, Felidae. The record is from Ensembl.
GUCUACGGCCAUACCACCCUGAACGCGCCCAAUCUCGUCUGAUCUCAGAAGCUAAGCAGGGUCGGGCCUGGUUAGUACUUGGAUGGGAGAAAGUUAAAAAUGACA